RNAcentral lists this ribosomal RNA (425 nucleotides) under uncultured bacterium. RNAcentral's name for it is "bacterial SSU rRNA". It matches the Rfam family "Bacterial small subunit ribosomal RNA", at positions 354 to 796 of the family's 1533-position model. The record is from RNAcentral.
GUGAGGAAUAUUCCGCAAUGGGCGAAAGCCUGACGGAGCGACGCCGCGUGGGUGAUGAAGUCUUUCGGGAUGUAAAACCCUUUCGGCUGGGACGAUAAUGACGGUACCAGCAGAAGAAGCCCCGGCUAACUACGUGCCAGCAGCCGCGGUAAUACGUAGGGGGCGAGCGUUGUCCGGAAUUACUGGGCGUAAAGGGCACGUAGGCGGCCUUGUAAGUCAGGUGUUAAAGGUAGAAGCUUAACUUUUACAGUGCAUCUGAUACUGCUUGGCUAGAGAAUGGGAGAGGGAAACGGAAUUUCCGGUGUAGCGGUGAAAUGCGUAGAUAUCGGAAAGAACACCAGUGGCGAAGGCGGUUUCCUGGACCAUUUCUGACGCUGAGGUGCGAAAGCUAGGGGAGCAAACAGGAUUAGAAACCCCGGUAGUCC